RNAcentral lists this ribosomal RNA (505 nucleotides) under uncultured bacterium. Its description in RNAcentral is "partial 16S ribosomal RNA". It matches the Rfam family "Bacterial small subunit ribosomal RNA", at positions 28 to 507 of the family's 1533-position model. The record is from RNAcentral.
GACGAACGCUGGCGGCGUGCCUAAUACAUGCAAGUAGAACGCACAGUUUAUACCGUAGCUUGCUACACCAUAAACGGUGAGCUGCGAACGGGAGAGUAACGCGUAGGUAACCUGCCUGGUAGCGGGGGGGAAAAACGGGAAACGAUAGCUAAAACAGCAUAAUAUUGAUUAUUGCAUGAUAAUUGAUGGAAAGAUGCUAUUGCAUCACUACCAGAUGGACCUGGGUUGUAGUAGCUAGUUGGUGAGGUAACGGCGCACCUAGGCGACGAUCCAUAGCCGACCUUGGAGGGGGGACGGCCACCCUGGGACUGGGAACCCGCCCCGGCCCCUACGGGGAGCCGCAGUAGGGGAUCUUCGGCCAUGGGCGGAAGUCUUACCGGGCAACGCCGCGUGGGUGAAGGAGGUUUUCGGAUCGUUAAGCUCUGUUGUAAGGGAAGAACGGGUGUGGGAGUUGAAAGUUCACGCUGUGACGGUAUCUUACCAGAAAGCGACGGCUAACUACGUG